GACAGAAGGUGCAAGCGUUACUCGGAAUUACUGGGCGUAAAGCGUCUGUAGGCGAUUUCCCACGUCUGGUAUGAAAUCUCGGAGCUCAACUCCGAACCCGUGCCGGAAACGAGGAAAAUUGAGUCAUUCAGAGGCAUCUGGAAUGUCGUGUGUAGGGGUAAAAUCCGUAGAUACACGAUGGAACGCCAAAAGCGAAGGCAGGAUGCUAGGGAUGUACUGACGCUGAGAGACGAAAGCGUGGGGAGCAAACAGG
This 253-nucleotide unclassified non-coding RNA is filed under the name uncultured Candidatus Peribacteria bacterium. RNAcentral describes it as "contains 16S-23S intergenic spacer region". It matches the Rfam family "Bacterial small subunit ribosomal RNA", at positions 524 to 776 of the family's 1533-position model. The record is from RNAcentral. Lineage: Bacteria; Candidatus Peregrinibacteriota; Candidatus Peribacteria.